ACGGGAGGCAGCAGUGGGGAAUCUUCCGCAAUGGGCGAAAGCCUGACGGAGCAACGCCGCGUGAGUGAUGACGGCCUUCGGGUUGUAAAACUCUGUGAUCCGGGACGAAAAGGCAGAGUGCGAAGAACAAACUGCAUUGACGGUACCGGAAAAGCAAGCCACGGCUAACUACGUGCCAGCAGCCGCGGUAAUACGUAGGUGGCAAGCGUUGUCCGGAAUUAUUGGGCGUAAAGCGCGCGCAGGCGGCUUCCCAAGUCCCUCUUAAAAGUGCGGGGCUUAACCCCGUGAUGGGAAGGAAACUGGGAAGCUGGAGUAUCGGAGAGGAAAGUGGAAUUCCUAGUGUAGCGGUGAAAUGCGUAGAGAUUAGGAAGAACACCGGUGGCGAAGGCGACUUUCUGGACGAAAACUGACGCUGAGGCGCGAAAGCGUGGGGAGCAAACAGGAUUAGAUACCCUGGUA
RNAcentral lists this ribosomal RNA (459 nucleotides) under uncultured Dialister sp. RNAcentral's name for it is "bacterial SSU rRNA". It matches the Rfam family "Bacterial small subunit ribosomal RNA", at positions 341 to 792 of the family's 1533-position model. Lineage: Bacteria; Bacillati; Bacillota; Negativicutes; Veillonellales; Veillonellaceae. The record is from RNAcentral.